Molecule: ribosomal RNA, 253 nt
Filed under: uncultured bacterium
Lineage: Bacteria
Description: partial 16S ribosomal RNA
Rfam family: Bacterial small subunit ribosomal RNA
Source: RNAcentral
UACAGAGGGUGCGCGCGUUUCUCGGAAUUACUGGGCGUAAAGCGCACGUAGGUGGCGACGUAAGUCGGGUGUGAUGGCGCCGGGCUCAACCUGGGAAUUGCAUUCGAGACUGCAUUGCUGGAGUACGGAAGAGGAGGGCGGAAUUCCGGGUGUAGCGGUGAAAUGCGUAGAUAUCGGGAGGAACAUCAGUGGCGAAGGCGGCCCUCUGGUCCAAUACUGACACUCAAGUGGGAAAGCGUUGGGAGCAAACAGU